Molecule: long non-coding RNA, 299 nt
Organism: Cygnus olor (mute swan)
Lineage: Eukaryota; Metazoa; Chordata; Aves; Anseriformes; Anatidae
Exons: 3
Source: RefSeq, a predicted model, not a curated record
GUUGGGGAUGUACGGAUAAGUAUGCAACGCCAUCAAAAGCAAAUCUUACUAAGAAUUGUGCCAUGAUGGAACUCUAAAUUACCACGGAUGACCUGGAAAACCAAUGCUAAAUAUAAUGCUUGGGAUUAGACAUUGUUCAAAGUCAUAUCAGCAACCAGGAAAACUUGUCUCUGAAACAACUGUCUAAGGAAGUCUGAGCCCACAUAUUAGCUACAGUAGACCUAUAAUGCACAUAGCACAAUUGAUGGAAUAAUUGUUUGCUACAUCAUGUAAGAAUUCUACUCCAUCUUCUAGAACCC